UACGAAGGGGGCUAGCGUUGCUCGGAUUGACUGGGCGUAAAGGGCGCGUAGGCGGUUCGUACAGCCAGACGUGAAAUUCCUGGGCUCAACCUGGGGGCUGCGUUUGAUACUGGUUGGCUUGAAUCCGGGAGAGGGAUGUGGAAUUCCAGGUGUAGCGGUGAAAUGCGUAGAUAUCUGGAGGAACACCGGUGGCGAAGGCGGCAUCCUGGACCGGUAUUGACGCUGAGGAGCGAAAGCCAGGGGAGCGAACGGG
This 253-nucleotide ribosomal RNA is filed under the name uncultured bacterium. RNAcentral's name for it is "partial 16S ribosomal RNA". It matches the Rfam family "Bacterial small subunit ribosomal RNA", at positions 524 to 776 of the family's 1533-position model. The record is from RNAcentral.